CAGAGUGGACGCCGAUCCGCAUGUCGACCUCCUGUUGCAGCUCCCGACGAACGUACCUGUUAUAGAUCAAACCCACGUCUCUAGAGAGUCCGGACUCGUCCCUCGAUGCAGCGCCGGGUCUCCAGGAAGGCCUGCCUCUGCGUGCGGUCAGACAGGUAGUGGAUGAACAGACCUGCAGUGUUCAUGCUGAGGAAGAAAGAAAUGGACAAAAGAAAUCACAGAAACAAGGAAGCAAGAGAGGAAUAAAG
Long non-coding RNA from Thunnus maccoyii (southern bluefin tuna), 248 nucleotides. RefSeq lists it as uncharacterized. NCBI's taxonomy places the organism in Eukaryota, Metazoa, Chordata, Actinopteri, Scombriformes, Scombridae. The record is from RefSeq and is a predicted model, not a curated record. The transcript has 3 exons.